Molecule: ribosomal RNA, 468 nt
Filed under: uncultured bacterium
Lineage: Bacteria
Description: partial 16S ribosomal RNA
Rfam family: Bacterial small subunit ribosomal RNA
Source: RNAcentral
GACGAACGCUGGCGGCGUGCUUAACACAUGCAAGUCGAACGGAAAGGCCCUGCUUUUGUGGGGUGCUCGAGUGGCGAACGGGUGAGUAACACGUGAGUAACCUGCCCUUGACUUUGGGAUAACUUCAGGAAACUGGGGCUAAUACCGGAUAGGAGCUCCUGCUGCAUGGUGGGGGUUGGAAAGUUUCGGCGGUUGGGGAUGGACUCGCGGCUUAUCAGCUUGUUGGUGGGGUAGUGGCUUACCAAGGCUUUGGCGGGUAGCCGGCCUGAGAGGGUGACCGGCCACAUUGAGACUGAGAUACGGCCCAGACUCCUACGGGAGGCAGCAGUGGGAAAUAUUGCACAAUGGGCGGAAGCCUGAUGCAGCAACGCCGCGUGCGGGAUGACGGCCUUCGGGUUGUAAACCGCUUUCGCCUGUGACGAAGCGUGAGUGACGGUAAUGGGUAAAGAAGCACCGGCUAACUACGGG